Long non-coding RNA from Mustela lutreola (European mink), 800 nucleotides. RefSeq lists it as uncharacterized. The record is from RefSeq and is a predicted model, not a curated record. Lineage: Eukaryota; Metazoa; Chordata; Mammalia; Carnivora; Mustelidae. The transcript has 3 exons.
GGGCACUCUGGUUCUGGCUCUCCUGGACCAAUGACCUUGUGCUUUUUGCUUCUCCGUCUCCAGUGGCUGGCAAAGCGUCGCGUACACAGGAGAUGUUUCAUAAAUGCCUCUUGAACAAAUGAAUGCAUCAAGGAAUGCAUGAAGGAGUAAACUGGGUCUGGUAUUCAGGCUCGCACUCCAGCUGGUGGAGUAUCUGCGGGCGCCCAGAUGCAGGCCGGCCUGGGGCUCAGCCUGCACACCCCCAGGCAGCAGAGAAGGUGACGCUGGGCCUUCAGUGACAGGACCAGAUGUUCUUCCAAGGGAGAUCCCAACGGGUUCUGGAUCAAAGUCCUGCAGGCCUUGCCUACUUCUUCCGAAGACAGGACUCCGGGCAGAGGUGCUGCUUCAAGUCCAUGCCCAUGGCCACCGUGUAUGUGCCCGCCGCGUCUCACUAGGUUACCCGCAGAGCCGAGCGUGCCCAUUUUACAAGGAAGGAGAUGGAGGAGGCCAGCGUGGCAGGAGAAAGGCUGGUCACUGAGUCAUGGGGCCACCCAGCGUGAGAUUCUGCUGACUGUUACUUUCUGCGGAGACCCCGUUCUCCUUUGAACUUGGUGACACUUCUCUCUCCCCCUGGGUGCUUCCGCUUCUCUGCCCAUCCCCUUGGGUGUUGGUGGUCUCCGUCUUCCUCGUUCCUCUUCUUGCCAUCUGGGUUCUGCUGCAGCAAUCUCGAGAAGCCCCAAGGCUUGCUCCACCGUCUGUCUCCCCGCUGAAGACCAGGAAACCUGAGCUCCUCACGGGACUUCACCGUGAUGCGACCCUGC